GGGCCGGUAGUUCAGGGGUAGAACGCCCGCCUCGCACGCGGGAGGUCGGGGGUUCAAGUCCCCCCCGGUCCA
This 72-nucleotide transfer RNA is filed under the name Nitrososphaerota archaeon. RNAcentral's name for it is "Thaumarchaeota archaeon (hot springs metagenome) tRNA-Ala". It matches the Rfam family "tRNA". Rfam says of the family: Transfer RNA (tRNA) molecules are approximately 80 nucleotides in length. Their secondary structure includes four short double-helical elements and three loops (D, anti-codon, and T loops). Further hydrogen bonds mediate the characteristic L-shaped molecular structure. tRNAs have two regions of fundamental functional importance: the anti-codon, which is responsible for specific mRNA codon recognition, and the 3' end, to which the tRNAs corresponding amino acid is attached (by aminoacyl-tRNA synthetases). tRNAs cope with the degeneracy of the genetic code in two manners: having more than one tRNA (with a specific anti-codon) for a particular amino acid; and 'wobble' base-pairing, i.e. permitting non-standard base-pairing at the 3rd anti-codon position. The record is from RNAcentral. Lineage: Archaea; Thermoproteati; Nitrososphaerota. RNAcentral also lists the same sequence under 1 other name.